GGGUCAAAAGGAAAUGUCGCCCUUGUUUACCUUACGUCGGUUGCCAUCUGAUGGCUGUCGAUUCCACCAAUAUAAACCUACACCUAGUUUGCAAAUUAAAGCAGUAUAGGGAGUAGGGUCGAUCCCACAGAGAUUGGAAUUACUGAAAAUUGUUUGUUUCUUGACCAGAUUAGUGUCUGGGCAGUUGUCGUGCCCGCGACGUUUAGGGGGGAAAUAAAAUAUGAAACCUGAAAUAAACACAAGAAAACGUAAAAAGUAAAAAGUAAAAGAUGAAAUAAAAAUAAAAAGAUGAAAUAAAAAUAAAAAACAAAAUAAUUUAAAGGAAAAUCAAUAAAACUUAGCUCAGCCUUAAGCACGGGUUUUCCCGUCUUUGACCCAUUCCUCGAAAUUAGGUGAACUCCUCUUUUUCGAUAAGCUAGUUAUAGCUACCAAGGACGCCUCGGACACCAACUCUUCCUUGUGUAAAUUAGUUAUGGAACGUCCUAUAACUAACCCUUACCGAUCGAACAACCUACGAAACGUUUGUGAUUUAGAACUCCGGCACCUUUGCGUUUUAGAAGAGCCUUCGAACCAAUGCCCUCAAACGUUGAGACAUUUAAUCUGGUUACUACUUCCCUUGACGGAACCAAAUAGCAAUUCUCACUUGGCACGCCAAUGUGUUCACGGAAGACCAAUUAGACAAUCGAUCCUUUCGGAAUUCCAACUGUACGUCUAGCCACACUAACUCAAACGACGUCUUUUUUGACUUAGUGUUGUCUUGACUUUGUGAGUUGACGAAGUCAUACUCUUAAUCCGGAGAAAUAAUAAAUAUCGAAAGUUGGGAGUUAAACAGCUCGGGUUCGUAACUCACGGGUUUUUUGACGGGGUUAACACCGGCUUAAAGCUGAAAGGGGUUUAGUGUGGCAUGAAUUUAAUCAUGCUUGAAGGUUAUGGAAAUGAUAGAAAUUAUAUGAAAAAAGAUAGUGGAAAUGGAUAGGAAAAAUUGCAAAGAGAAUUAGACAAAUUUUGUAAAAAGAAGACAAAAUAAUUUAAUGCUUAAUUGAAUUAAGAAAAAGAAAACAAAGUGGAUAAUGGAAUUCCAAAAUGAAAUAGGAAUGUAAAGACAAUUGAUUAAUGGAUGAUUUCCUAAAAACUAAAACCCCUUAUUUAUAUAGAUAGGGUUUACUAAAAAUAGCUUAAGAAAAUUAAUAUAAAAUCUAAAAUAAUAAUAAUUAAAAAUAAAUAAAAUUAAAAUAAACUUAAAAUAGAAUUUCCUAUUUUUGGCUUUUUACAAAGUCAAAUUUAUGACUAGUCCUUGGCUUGCUCCAUCUUUUCGCUUUGGCCCAUUACAAUAAUUUUCUUCUAAUUUGGCCCCUUUUCAGCUUGCUUUUGAUCAAUUGCAUCGCUGACAAGAAUUAAAUCAUAAAAACACUUAAUUAGCAGUAUUCAGUUCAUCAAUAAACCAAAUUAAGCAUAAAAAAUAUGUAAUUUGACAUGUUUAUCAAAUCCCCCUACUUAGCUCAUGCUUGACCUCAAACAUGUUGUUCUUUCAAACAUUAGAAUUAAUUCCACAAUUUAUUAAAAAUCGAGCCCCUUUUCCAUAUCCUCAAUCAAUGCAAACAACAUAGGCAAAAAGAAAUAAAUGUUCAAAAUAUACAUUUUAAUCAACAAGUGUCAUAAAAUUGAAAUAUGUCAACUAAACAAUUUCGCUAAAUUGAGAUUGAAUCCCAUAAUUUGCACAGCAUUAUUAAUUAACUAUGCAUCAGAAAAUUAAUAGACAAGAUCAAACCUUUUUACGCGAACUAGGGUGACAACCCAAGCACCCUAUCCUGGUUACUCAGUUCAAACAGUCUUUAUUUAUUAUGUAUUAUUUUUUCUCUCUUUCUUUAUUUUAUAGGGUGUUCAGCUAGCGGAAUGUUUGUAAGUUAUCAACUUGUCACUCGAACCUUUUUACGCGAGACAAGAUGACAACCCAAGCACCCUGCCCCGGUUACUCAAUUCGGUCACGUUUUUGAAACUUCAUUCAUAGCCUGAACCUUUAUUAAUUUAUUUAUGCACAAGCAAACAUAUUUUAUUCAAUCAAUCAAUUCAUGCGAAAAAAUUCUAGCUACAUAUACCAAUUUUUAAAACCUAAAUGUCGAGCAAUCUAUAUACUUAAACAUUUAGUUCGAAAUUUGCCCAAUUGCUUAAAUCGACUAAGUAUGAGGUUUUAAGGCUCAAAUGUUGAAUAAAUUGUCGAAAGAAUUCAUCGUAAGAUUGAACACAUGCAAAAGAAAAAGACAUGCAGCAAAAAUUAACAUAUCAAUCCAACCCCCCCAACUUAAACUAUGCUUGUCCUCAAGCAUGUAAAAUAAAGUCAGCAACUUAAAAUGAAAAGGUUUAGAACACUCCCCGUGUAUUUUAAUGACAUCGUUGGUGUUGAGACUCGCGACUUUGCAGGAUAUUGAGGAUGGUGGCGACUUUUGUUUCCAUUGUUUCAAGUCUAGCUUCGAUUCGACUUAAACGGGCCUCCACAGUCAAAGGGUGUUCCUCUUGCUCUCUCGUAUUAGUGUGUGGGUGCUUGCGAAAAACUCUAUUUUCCCGAGCAGCCCGUGUACCUGGAGGAACAAAAUAACACGAAGUAGGGGUGCCGGCAAGCAAUCCCAUAGAAUCCAAACAAUAUUUAUCUAGGUGGUUCAUACGAUAUGCACAUGUGAAGGUUGUGAAAUCAAUUUCAGACUCAAAAAGUCGAGAGGCUAAAUUUGAAAUGAAUGAUCCAAGUAUAAGUGGAUGGUUGUAACUCAAAACGGCAUGAAAAUUUCGUGCAAACCAAUAUCCUAAAUUAACUUUAAUACCCGAAUGCAUGCACCACAAAAAGAACAGUUCAAUCUUAAUCAAAGCAGCUGAUGCGUCAUUUCUACCUGAAAAACAAAAUGCUAAAAAUCGGUGUAUGUAUUUUAAAGCAGGCUCAUGCACCCAUAAAUCUUUUGUGGUCUUUGGAUUAUAAAGUUGGUCAGAAUUAGUUAAAACACGAUAAAAAUGCUGAGCAUCGAAGUCAUUGGGAACAUCUAAAAGAGCAGAAUGAUAGGCAUCGAAUUGAAUGUCAUUAGCGUCGAUGAAACCCAUGGUAAUGUUAAAUUCUGAAACAGACAUCCGAAAGUUUUUUCCAAGCAAACGAAAGCACACUAUAUUUUGUGUUUCAACAGUUUGCAAUGCAUUUAUAUUGAAGCUAAAUGUGGUAUAAAACUCAUAUACUAAUUCAUAAUAUGCAUCACAAGUAAUAUUAGCAAAUAGAGUCCAACCAAUAGCAUCAAAAUAAUGGAGCACUGCAUCAUGAAUAUCUAGAAGUUCAAGAGUAGGGAAAUCGAUUUGCUUAUAGACCGGAAGCGAGCGUUGUCGGAUGCCGUUGUAUCGUGUUUGCUGUUCCGAUGUCGAAAACUCUAGAAAUCCUAGCAAACGACUAUCGGUAGGAAUAACAUUUGCUCGACUAGUCUGUUGCAUUGAUUUGCUCGGGGUGGUCGAACGUGCUCGUUAGGCGAGUCAGGUGGGGGAUUUCGUUCAACAGCUUCAGUACUGCUGUGCGGGGGCGUCGAUGGCUCACGUGUCAACCGUCGAUGACUUCGAGUUUGGCGUUGAGAGACUUGUUCAACAACGGUGGGUGUAGGCUCGACAUGGACGUAAGAAGUUUCGACUUCCUCUGGACUGCCCGAAGUGCUUGUGUCGGCCGGGGUUAGACUUCAUUGUAGGCGGGCUCUUAGUUGAGCGGCCGUUCGUCUCGGAGAAGGUGGAGAAGGGUCGUCGUCGGCUAACUCAACGACAGGAGGCGCGGAGAAACGGUGUCGAUUUUGAUUAAGUGAAACUGGGGUAUUGUCUGCCGCUUGGUUUCUAGUUCGGACCAUGGUAUCCGUGCGAGUGUCCCGAGUAGUCAGUUCUGGUGGUUCGACGAUGGCAGACUUGGCGGUGGCAGACGACAGCGGCGCACGGUUGCGGCGAAUGUGGUAGGGUGAUUUUGGACCGUUUUUGUGGAGGGUGGAGGUGGGGUGUUGAUGUUGGCGUUGUUUAAUGUGGGGGUGAGAGUUUUGGUGUUUCAAAGAAAAGAAAAAUAAAGGGAAAAAUAGGGGUUGGGGGAAGCGAAACGGCGGCGCAUGGAAGGCCCCGUUCGGCGAUGAUGGUGCGUCGCAGGUGAGAGGUCACUGCUCGGUGUGGUUCAGCGGUGGGAAGGGCGUCGGAUGGUGGUGGUAAGAGGGAGGAAAAAAAAAGAAAAGAAAAGAAAGAAAAGUAGAGAUGGGGCGUUGGCGUGGGGUGGGCUGGCGAGGUGCGGCGACGGUGGUGGACGACCGACGAAGGGAGUGACGGCGACGGUCGGCGACUUGGCUUGGUUUAGGGUUAUGUGUUGUUUGUGGAGAAGAGGAAGAAUAUGAGAGGAUUUGGGAAUUUAGGGAUUUUGGGUAUUUGAAUUUAUUUUUAUUUUUUUGUUUAAUUUUUAUUUGGGAUAUUGGGUAGGGUAAUUGGGUUAGGUGUAGGUUGGGCCAACUUUGGGUAUUGGGUUUUGUGUGGGUGUUGAGUGUGUAUGAGUAUUGGGUUUAGAUUUAUGUGGGUUUAAAGGAAAUGGGUAGUUUUGUAUUUGGGUUUGGGUUAUUUUAGCUUGUGGGUAAAUAGGUUUGGAUUUGGGUAUUGGGUUGAUUUUGGGUUUUGGUUUAUGUGGGUAACUUAGUUUUUAUGUUUUAGGUAUUUAGGUAUGUGGGUAAAUGGGUUUGGGUAGGAAUUUUAGUGGAUGAUGGUUUUUUUUUUUACUAUCAUCACAUUAACAAGUCGUGCCCACGCCACCUUUAUUAGUCAUCUUUUUGAAAAUUAAUUACUUCCACAGUAUUCCUGAAAACAUCAAAUUGACUAAGUUAAAUAAGAAUUUAUUUAUUUACAUCCUAAUUUACUUAAACUAAAAAUAAAUGAAAAUAAAUUUGGGUUGCCUCCCAAAAAGCGUUUUUUUAACGUCGUUAGCUCGACGACCUGUUAUUUAAACUUUUGGCUCAUCGAGAAUAAUCUCCUCAACUGUGUGUAUUUGAAAAUUCUCGAAAAAGGGUUUUAGUCGUUGACCAUUCACUUUAAAGCGCUUUCGUGUCUCUUCACUUUGAAUUUCCACUACACCAUUCGUAAAUAAAUUAGUAAUAAUAAACGAUCCUAUCCAUUUGAAUCGAAGUUUACCAGCGAAGAUUUUUAAAGUGGAAUCGUAUAGGAGCACUUUUUGUCCUAUUGAGAACUGCUUCCUAGUGAUGAACUUGUCAUGAAAUGCCUUCGUCUUUUCUUUAUAAACUCGAGCAUUUUCAUAUGCAUCGUUUCUGAUUUCCUCGAGUUCCUGGAUGUCUAAUUUCUGAGAUUUUCCCACAGACUCCAUUUCCAUAUUGCAUUGCUUAACUGCCCAAAAAGCCUUAUGCUCUAACUCGACCGGGAGGUGGCACGAUUUACCGAAAAUGAGUCGAUAAGGUGACAUGCCUAUUGGUCCCUUGUAAGCUGUUCUAUAGGCCCAAAGUGCGCCAUUCAGUCUUAAACUCCAAUCCUUCCUGUUAGGUUUAACCGUCUUUUCCAAAAUAGACUUGAUCUCUCGAUUUGACACUUCAGUUUGCCCGUUUGUUUGUGGAUGGUAAGCUGUGGCAAUUUGUUGAGUCACUCCAUAUUUCUCCAUAAGUGCACUUACGAGCUUAUUGCAAAAAUGUGUUCCUCUGUCACUGAUUAAUGCUCGUGGAGUGCCAUACCUGGAAAAAAUAGAAUUUUUAAGAAAGUCAACUACGGUCUUAGCAUCAUCAUUUCGAGUGGCCUUUGCCUCUAUCCACUUAGAGGCAUAAUCAACAGCUAAAAGUAUAUAAAAAUUACCGAAAGAAUAAACGAAAGGACCCAUAAAGUCGAUGCCCCACACAUCAAAAAUUUCACAAAUAUGAAUAGGAGUAAGCGGCAUCUCAUUUCGACGACUAAGGUUGCCAACUCUUUGGCAUUUUUCACAAGUUUUACAGAAAUAAAAGGCAUCACGAAAUAUGUUUGGCCAAAAUAAUCCACAUUAGAGAAUUUUGUGUGCGGUGCGUUUAGGUCUAAAAUGCCCUCCGCAUGCAUAAGAAUGACAAAAAGUUAAGAUAAACUGUACCUCUAUUUCUGCUACACAACAUCGUAUUACCUGAUCCGAGCAAUGCUUCCAAAAGUAAGGGUCGUCCCAAAUGUAAUAUCGUGCAUCCUUUCUUAUCUUAUCUUUUUUAGACCUUGGCAAAUCUGAAGGAACAGUACCUGUGACGAGAUAGUUUACUAUGUCUGCAUACCAAGGGUGUACUGCAUUUGCUGAAAACAGGUUUUCAUCUAGGAAGUUGUCCUUCAAUGGUGUGUCGUCUACUGGAAUCGGUAAUCGACUCAGAUGGUCAGCUACUAGGUUUUUGUAUCCCUUUUUAUCCCGAAUUUCAAAAUCGAACUCUUGUAGAAGUAGAAUCCACCUGAUCAGUCGGGGUUUUGCCUCUUUUUUCCCUAUUAAAUAUUUCAAAGCUGCAUGAUCAGGAAAGAUAAUUACCUUAGUUCCCAAUAGGUAAGAUCUGAAUUUAUCCAAAGCAAACACAACAGCUAAUAAUUCUUUCUCGGUCGUUGUGUAAUUGCUUUGGGCAGCAUCCAAAAUCUUCGAAGCAUAGUAGAUGACAUGAGGCUCUUUCCCUAUUCUUUGGCCAAGAACAGCUCAUACACUUUGGUCACUUGCAUCACACAUGAUUUCGAAUCGGAAGUUCCAAUUUGGUGGCUGCACAAUGGGAGCGGAGACUAAUUUCUGCUUCAGCACAUCAAACGCGUCCUUACAAGUCUGGUCAAAUUCAAAUUAUUUAUCCUUUUGUAACAGACUACAAAGUGGUCGCGUAAUUUUCGAAAAAUCUUUCAUGAAUCGUCUAUAGAAUCUUACAUGGCCAAGAAACGAACGAACUUCCUUCACUGAUGAGGGGUAAGGUAACGAGUUAAUAAUAUCCGUUUUUGCCUUAUCGACCUCGAUUCCUUUCGAGGAAACUAUAUGACCCAAAAUUAAUCCUUUGUCAACCAUGAAAUGGCAUUUCUCAUAAUUUAAAACACGAUUAAAUUCUAGGCAUCUUUGUAAUAUCUUAGCAAGAUUAUUGAGACAUUCGUUAAAAGAGUUACCGUAUACCGAGAAGUUAGCCAUAAAGAUUUUAAUGAUUUUCUCGACGUAAUCAGAGAAUAUGCUUACCAUGCAUCUUUGGAAAAUGGCCGGAGCAUUGCAGAGUCCAAACGGCAUCCGUCUAUACGCAAAUGUUCCGAAGGGACAUGUGAAAGUUGUUUUGUCUUGAUCCUCCGGAGCCACUGGAAUCUGGAAAAAUCCUAAGUACCCAUCGAGACAAUAAUAAUGGGACUUACCGGCUAAUCGCUCGAGCAUUUGAUCGAUGAAGGGGAGUGGAAAAUGGUCUUUUCAGGUAGCUGUAUUCAACUUUCUGCAAUCGAUGCAAACCCUCCAUCCAUUCUGUACUCGUGUAAGGACUAGCUCACCUAACUGGUUUUUCACCACUGUCACGCCAGUUUUCUUGGGCAAGACAUGAAUCGGGCUGACCCAAUUACUGUCGGAAAUUGGGUAUAUCAUUCCAGCAUCUAACAGUUUCUGGAUCUCAUUCUUAACUACCUCCAUCAUGGGCGGAUUGAGGCGCCUUUGAGCAUCCCUCUUUGGUUUCGUGUUGUCUUCGAUGGAAAUUUUGUGCAUACAAGUGGAUGGACUUAGCCAUUUUAUGUCGGCUAUCGUCCAACCAAUAGCUUCCUCAUAAUCUCUCAAAACUCGAACUAGACUUUCCUCCUCGUCUUUGGUUAACUUGUUUGACACUAUAACCGGUAAGGUGUCUUUCUCUCCCAAAAAGACGUACUUAAGAUGGUCCGGUAAUGCUUUAAGCUCCAAGACUGGUGGCUGCAAAAUAGAGGGCAACAUUUUAGUAUAGGAAGGUAAUAGUUCAAACUGGUUACCUUGGUUUGUCAACGAAGGUUGCAUAUCCAAGUGAUUGAUGAUUUCUUGCAACGGAUCUUCAAUGACUGCGAAUUCCUCGAGAUGAUGUAAAACAUUCAUGUCAAUGUUUCUGAAAAGGACAGUUUUCAACUCAUCAAAGUCAUGAUAUUCAGAAUAAGAUUGAGUUAAACAAUCUAAAAUAUUAAUGCUAGAAAUAUUCAAUAGUGAGUUAGGAUGACCCAUAGCCUCGUAAACAUUGAAUUUACAAUUUCGCCAUCAAACUCCAUGGUCAGCGUCCCACUUCGAACAUCUAUUUUUGCACUUGUGGUACUUAGAAAUGGCCUUCCAAGCAAAAUGUCAGACGAAUUAGUUGAAUUAUCAUCUUCUAUACUAAUAAUGUAGAAAUCUGUAGGGAAAACUAAUUCGUUAACUUUAACAAGGACGUCUUCAAGCAGCCCUUCAGGAUAGACAACUGACCUGUCCGCCAACUGGAUUAUUACUCCUGUCUCUUUUAAAGGACCCGCGUUAAUCAACUUAUAAAUAGAAUAAGGCAUAACAUUAAUAGAAGCCCCUAAAUCACACAUGGCUUUCUUAAUGCCUACAUUACCUAUCUCACAGGAAAUAGCAAACAUACCUUGGUCCUUGUAUUUGGGCGGAACUUUCUUUUACAGUACUGCGGAGACAUUUUCUCCUACAUUUACUCUUUCGUUACCUAUUAACCUCCUUUUGCUAGUACACAAUUCCUUGAGGAAUUUUGCAUAACGAGGGAUUUGUUUGAUAGCGUCGAGUAAAGGGAUAUUUACCUCCACCUUCUUGAAUGUCUCGAGGAUUUCUUUUUCCUCAUUCUCUUUCUUAUCCCUUGCAAGCCUCCCUGGAAAAGGAGGUGGGAUCACAACUGGUUUCUAAACUUCCAAUUCUGGCCUUGCUAUUAGAUCCGAGAUCUACUUUUCCCGUUUCUUUUCUUGCCCAUAAUUUUUGGCUGGAACUGUUUCUAGAACCUUUCUGCUACGAAGAGUGAUUGUACUGGCAUUUUGCCGAGGGUUUGGCUCUGUCUGGGAAGGUAAUUUACCUUGAGACUCCAAGCGAUUAACUGUCAUCGAGAGUUUACUAACUUGAUUAGUUAACUCUUGUAUUGAUGUGUCUGUCCUCUGUUGAUAUUUUGCGGCAUCGGCAGCAAGUCUUUCCACAAUAGCUUCUAGAGAUGUGUUCGGCUUAUGUUGUGGUGGUGGUUGCAGAGGUCUAGGUUGGGAUUGUGGAUUAUAUCGGGGAUUAGCUCCGUAAUUCAGGUUGGGACGAUCCUUCCACCCGGGAUUGUAGGUGUUGGAGAAAGGAUCAUAGCGUCUUUGUGGAAGUCUCGGAAAACCUCCGACAGCAUCUACAUGUGCUGUUGAAUUAUCGUUAAGGAUUGGGCACAAAUCCGUCGGGUGUUCAGACGUAGUACAAAUUCCACAUAGUGGGGUCAAACUCUUAUUUUCUGUAAGCAAAGAUUGAACAACAUUCGUAAGCUUAUCCAAUUUAUCUUCUAAAGUUGAAACGUUUACCCCAUUAACCCGUCUUGUCGGCUCUGAAUUUGGUCGAUACUGUUGAGAAUUUGCCGCCAUGGUGGAUAUUAGUUCUCUUGCCCUUUGAGGGGUCAUAUUGACAAGCGCUCCUCCGCUAGCAGCGUCGAUCAUCUUCAUUUCCAUAAGGAGCAAACCCUCGUAGAAAUAUUGAAGAAGUGAUUGUUCAGUCAACCCAUGUUGAGGACAACUCGCACACAGUUUUUUGUACCGCUCCCAGUAGUAGUAGAGCGAUUCACUCUCCAAUUGGCGAAUUCCCACUAUGUCCCUCUUAAGCUCGGCUGCUCGUGACGCUGGGAAGAAUCUGUCAAGAAAUACACGAGAUAAGUCAUCCCACGUUGUGAUAGAACCGGGAGGUAAGUAAAAUAAUCAUUCUUUUGCUGUAUCAACUAAAGAAAAAGGAAAAGCCCGAAGUUUGAUCUCAUCUUCGGGUACUCCCUGCGGUUUCAUGCUUGAGCAGACCAUGUGGAAUUCUCUCAAGUGAGUGUGUGGAUUUUCGUUCUUCAGGCCUCGAAAAGUGGGCAAAAGGUGAAUCAAGCCCGACUUCAAUUCGAAAGGGGUUCCUCCGGUUGGAUAGUUGAUGCAUAACGGUGUUUGCUCAUUGAGAGCAUCGGCUAGUUGACGAAUGGUUCGGUUUGCCAUCCUUUCUGAUUCACCGAGGUUGCCUUUUGUUUCAAAGAGUGGUUCAGUCUCAAGUUCAACCUCUUCGACUCGUUUCCCACGUCGAAUUGCCUCUGUGCGAAUUACUUCACUCAAUUUUUCAACGUCGGAUUCUAGGAUCCCCUGUCCUAGCUCAAUUCCUGAUUUACUUGCACGUUCAAGAGCUCCUGUCUCUUUUCGUCGUGCUCGUGCUGAUUUCUCGAUCUCUAGGUCGUAUUCGAGAUCUCCUGAUGAAGAUCUGGUCAUGAAGACGAUUUAAACAAUUGUAAGUGUUGCCAGUCCCCGGCAACGGCGCCAAAACUGAUGGCUGUCGAUUCCACCAAUAUAAACCUACACCUAAUUUAUAAAUUAAAGCAGUAUAGGGAGUAGGGUCGAUCCCACAGAGACUGGAAUUAUUGAAAAUUGAUUGUUUCUUGACCAGAUUAGUGUCUGGGCAGUUGUCGUGCCCGCGACGUUUAGGGGGGAAAUAAAAUAUGAAACCUGAAAUAAACACAAGAAAACGUAAAAAGUAAAAAGUAAAAAAUGAAAUAAAAAUAAAAAGAUGAAAUAAAAAUAAAUAACAAAAUAAUUUAAAGGAAAAUCAAUAAAACUUAGCUCAGCCUUAAGCACGGGUUUUCCCGUCUUUGACCCGUUCCUCGAAAUUAGGUGAACUCCUCUUUUCCGAUAAGCUAGUUAUAGCUACCAAGGACGCCUCGGACACCAACUCUUCCUUGUGUAAAUUAGUUAUGAAACGUCCUAUAACUAACCCUUACCGAUCGAACAACCUACGAAACGUUCGUGAUUUAGAACUCCGGCAGCUUUGCGUUCUAGAAGAGCCUUCGAACCAAUGCCCUCAAAUGUUGAGACAUUUAAAUCCGGUUACUACUUCCCUUGACGGAACCAAACAGCAAUCCCCACUUGGCACGCCAAUGUGUUCACGGAAGACCAAUUAGACAAUCGAUCCUUUCGGAAUUCCAACUGUACGUCUAGCCACACUAACUCAAACGACGUCUUUUUUGACUUAGUGUUGUCUUGACUUUGUGAGUUGACGAAGUCAUACUCUUAAUCCGGAGAAAUAAUAAAUAUCGAAAGUUGGAAGUUAAACAGCUCGUAUUCGUAACUCACGGGUUUUUUGACGGGGUUAACACCGGCUUAAAGCUGAAAGGGGUUUAGUGUGAUAUGAAUUUAAUCAUACUUGAAGGUUAUGGAAAUGAUAGAAAUUAUAUGAAAAAAGGUAGUGGAAAUGGAUAGGAAAAAUUGCAAAGAGAAUUAGACAAAUUUUGUAAAAAGAAGACAAAAUAAUCUAAUGCUCAAUUGAAUUAAGAAAAAGAAAACAAAGUGGAUAAUGGAAUUCCAAAAUGAAAUAGGAAUGUAAAGACAAU
This 11492-nucleotide long non-coding RNA is filed under the name Gossypium barbadense (sea-island cotton). RNAcentral describes it as "long non-coding RNA (GBAR_LNC000894)". The record is from RNAcentral. Lineage: Eukaryota; Viridiplantae; Streptophyta; Magnoliopsida; Malvales; Malvaceae.